GGGCUCAUAGCUCAGAUGGUUAGAGCGUUGCAUUGACAUUGCAAAGGUCAGAGGUCCGAUUCCUCUUGAGCCCACCA
RNAcentral lists this transfer RNA (77 nucleotides) under Candidatus Microgenomates bacterium. RNAcentral describes it as "tRNA-Val". It matches the Rfam family "tRNA". From Rfam's summary of the family: Transfer RNA (tRNA) molecules are approximately 80 nucleotides in length. The record is from RNAcentral. Lineage: Bacteria; Candidatus Microgenomatota.